RNAcentral lists this transfer-messenger RNA (381 nucleotides) under Bacilli bacterium. It matches the Rfam family "transfer-messenger RNA". Rfam says of the family: Bacterial tmRNA, also known as 10Sa RNA or SsrA, is named for its dual tRNA and mRNA-like properties. Its role is to liberate the mRNA from a stalled ribosome. To accomplish this part of the tmRNA is used as a reading frame that ends in a translation stop signal. Lineage: Bacteria; Bacillati; Bacillota; Bacilli. The record is from RNAcentral.
GGGGAUGUUCUGGUUUCGAUUCGGAAGAUAGGUCAUUAGCUGCAGUGGUCUGGUAGACCAUAAUACCAAACAAAAAUAAAUGACAAAGAAGUCAAACCAUGGAUGUUGAACAAUGUUCGUACAUCCGUUGCUCUUGCUUAAUUUAGCCUUAUAAGAGCACGUUCAUUAAUUAGUGUUCACUCCGCUAGUUAUUGAAUGUUAGAUUAAGAGUGAUAAGUACGAAAGUGUUAGCUUAUACUUAGUAACGAAAACCUUAAAGCUACUAUACAUAUGCUUAGGGACAGUUCCUUGAUUAUGUAUUAAGAUAUGAAUUGUCAUAAACUGUAGGCGCUAUUGGGGGAUCUUUCGAAGACAGGAGUUCGAUUCUCCUCAUCUCCACCA